CUACGGGGGGCAGCAGUGGGGAAUAUUGGACAAUGGGGGAAACCCUGAUCCAGCAAUGCCGCGUGUGUGAAGAAGGCCUGCGGGUUGUAAAGCACUUUCGGUUGGGAGGACUGCUUCUAGCACUAAUAUUGCUGGAAGUUGACGUUACCUUCAGAAGAAGCACCGGCUAACUCCGUGCCAGCAGCCGCGGUAAUACGGAGGGUGCAAGGUUAAUCGGAAUUACUGGGCGUAAAGCGCGCGUAGGCGGCUAGAUCAGUCGGGUGUGAAAGCCCCGGGCUUAACCUGGGAACUGCAUCCGAUACUGUCUAGCUUGAGUACAGGAGAGGAGAGUGGAAUCCCACAUGUAGCGGUGAAAUGCGUAGAUAUGUGGAGGAACACCAAUGGCGAAGGCAGCUCUCUGGCCUGAUACUGACGCUGAGGUGCGAAAGCGUGGGGAGCAAACAGGAUUAGAUACCCUAGUAGUC
This 464-nucleotide ribosomal RNA is filed under the name uncultured bacterium. RNAcentral describes it as "partial 16S ribosomal RNA". It matches the Rfam family "Bacterial small subunit ribosomal RNA", at positions 339 to 795 of the family's 1533-position model. The record is from RNAcentral.